AGAAAACUCGACGCAAAAGUACUAUGUCAAACUGAAAAUAGACAAAAAUGCAAUCGGAAACAUAACCGAGCUACUGAGACCUUUUGUGGACGACACCAACCUGAGCGUCGAUGAUUUGAAAAUGACGACAGAGUGUAAGGAGGACUCGGCAGGUGUAAAGUGUAGCUGCAAACCAAACCACAGGUGGAGUGACGACGUUUGUUGGUCUAACAAGACGUGUUGUGGCGACUCAGAAUGCACCUUCCCAACAAACUCAGAUCAAAUGUGUGUUUCUGUCCAUUCAGUUGCUGUUUCAGGGUCUCUCACUCUGGGACAAAAUCAUUCCAAUUGUCUGAGAGAGAGCACAUCUGAAGAAUACAAGAAAUGUAAUGACACAUUGUUCAUAGAGAUGAAGAGAGUGUACAGCACUAUCAGGGGAUUUGUCACCUUAACAAUCACAGGAUACAGGAUUGGAAGCAUCAUUGCAGAUUUUAAAAUGAACAUUGAUGACCGGGUCUAUUCAAAUGAUCUGAUUGAAACAACCCUAAAGCUGAGCGAAUUCCUGCCGGCGACGCUUAAUUUGGAGACUGCAGGUUUUGUCCGCUUGUACAUGCCGCUGACCCUCGUGUGUUACGAAAAGAGCGUCGUCCUCAGGUGCCAGUCAACGGAGGACCUGAACGUUACGCCAAAGUGGAAUCUGAAAAGACCGGACAGAAUAUUUGACAUAACCUCAGGCACAAUCGCAGAUGUGGCAAUAUUAGGAAAAAGGGAGACCAAUCUCACCAUCAGAGAAGUGUCUGAACUCUGGGAAGGAAACUACACAUGUACAUACGAACAACAGCGAUCUCUCGUCACCAUAGUGCACAAAGCCACCGGUAUCCUAGAUGUUUCCCUCCUGCCAAACAUCUACACUUCCACCCAGCCACCAUUUGUUCGCUGUGAAAGUGAAAGGACUGUUGUGAAAGUAACAGCUAAAUGUGAGAUAAGUAAAAGCAGUGAGCCUUAUGAGGUGACCUGGACAGGUGACGGCAUCUUGCAGAAACCAUUAUACAAGAAACUACAGUGCAUAUUUAAGAACAGAUGCAACCAAACCAGAAGUGGCAAAAUUACGAUCAAUUUCAUAAAUGUGGGUGAAAAGUUUUGUGAAGCUGAAGGUGACUGGUACGACACCAAAGCUGAUUUCACUGCAGAGUUAAAAUGCAAGCAUUCAGCUGGAGUGAGACUACGGUAUUGCAGCGAGGAUGGGGAAUGGGAAAAGGAGGACUCGAGAUGUGUGAUCACGGAACUUUACAGUGCUCUGCAGCAAGCAACAAUUGUUGACAUUGGACUUGGCUUUGAAGAUCAAAAUGUUGCAGAUGUGCUUUCCAUCUUUGAGAACACCACUAAUAACACAGAGAAUAUCAACACUUUCACCAACGUGAACGUAUCGGUCCACGUCCUCAGCACCUUGGAUGAUA
Amphiprion ocellaris (clown anemonefish) is the source of this 1436-nucleotide long non-coding RNA. NCBI's taxonomy places the organism in Eukaryota, Metazoa, Chordata, Actinopteri, Pomacentridae. The record is from Ensembl.